GGAUGUGAGACAUCUGUCACCCCACUGAUCACCAGAGUUGAUUCAACUGAUCUGGCUGGCUAGGCAAGUGUCUUCUCCUUCCCUCACUGCUCCACGUGCAUCCCUCCUGAAGCUGCGCACUCGGUCUAAAAGGAGAACCUUCUCCCAUAGAGGAGAGGACCGUUCUUCAUCAAGUGUAUAUGAGUAGCUGCACUCCCCUGCUAGAACCUCCAAACAAGCUCUCAAGAUGUAGCCAAUUUGGUCAAAGUGCAUGAAGUAGCAUUAAUGUGAACUUUUGCCUGUCAAGCUGCCAAGU
This is a non-coding RNA of Pteropus alecto (black flying fox), 295 nucleotides long. The record is from Rfam. Lineage: Eukaryota; Metazoa; Chordata; Mammalia; Chiroptera; Pteropodidae.